This 394-nucleotide ribosomal RNA is filed under the name uncultured bacterium. RNAcentral describes it as "partial 16S ribosomal RNA". It matches the Rfam family "Bacterial small subunit ribosomal RNA", at positions 355 to 739 of the family's 1533-position model. The record is from RNAcentral.
UGGGGAAUUUUGGACAAUGGGCGCAAGCCUGAUCCAGCCAUGCCGCGUGCGGGAAGAAGGCCUUCGGGUUGUAAACCGCUUUUGUCAGGGAAGAAAUCUUCUGAGUUAAUACCUCGGGAGGAUGACGGUACCUGAAGAAUAAGCACCGGCUAACUACGUGCCAGCAGCCGCGGUAAUACGUAGGGGUGCAAGCGUUAAUCGGAAUUACUGGGCGUAAAGCGUGCGCAGGCGGUUUUGUAAGACAGAGGUGAAAUCCCCGGGCUCAACCUGGGAACUGCCUUUGUGACUGCAAGGCUUGAGUGCGGCAGAGGGGGAUGGAAUUCCGCGUGUAGCAGUGAAAAUGCGUAGAUAUGCGGAGGAACACCGAUGGCGAAGGCAAUCCCCUGGGCCUGCA